AGAAAUAUUCAUGUACCUCCGUGAUAGAGAUCCAGCCCCAAGACAGGGAAAUUAUUACUGUCCGUGCUAUUUUAAUGCGCUGGAUAAAGUUUUAUCGUUGAAAUCCUACAUCUGAUUGAGGAGUUCCUAAACACUGUCAACUAAAGGAUGUCUUUCCUUCCCCAGGUUCUACUCUCUCUCCCUUGUAUUACGCCCCAAGACCUGUUUGCUUUUGAAGAAGCUUUAACAAAAACAUCCAGUCCCAAGGAACAAAAACAGCACAUGAAGAGCUUGCUUUUAUUAGCUGCUGGAAACAAGUUGAAGGCACUUG
RNAcentral lists this unclassified non-coding RNA (310 nucleotides) under Hevea brasiliensis (rubber tree). Lineage: Eukaryota; Viridiplantae; Streptophyta; Magnoliopsida; Malpighiales; Euphorbiaceae. The record is from RNAcentral.